Pipistrellus kuhlii (Kuhl's pipistrelle) is the source of this 2840-nucleotide long non-coding RNA. RefSeq lists it as uncharacterized. Lineage: Eukaryota; Metazoa; Chordata; Mammalia; Chiroptera; Vespertilionidae. The record is from RefSeq and is a predicted model, not a curated record. The transcript has 3 exons.
GCUGCUAAAAUAUUUGCUGCUAGUAUUAGUGGAGAGAAAUGGUGUGUCUGUGCAUAAGAUACCAGAAGAUGAUUAUUUAAGCAUUAAUGGAGAGCUAUGAGAAAGGAAGCUAUAAAGAGACAAACAAAAGAGGAAGAUUUCCGGGCUGCAAUGGACUUUGACAUCCAGACCAAUGGUCUUAUUUACAGAUGAAGACAGGUCAUAGGGAGAGGUCCCUUCUCCGGGUCUGGAUCCUACUUUCCUCUAAAAAAUGGGGGAGGUCAUGCUGACCAGGACUGAUGUCUCUGAAACUGGAUCUCGACCUUGAAGACAAGCCAGCUCAGUCUCCGGGUUUGGCCUCUGCCCCUGGGGUCCUAUGUAUAAUUCUUUCUUGGCCUCAUCUCCACCUGAUAACCAUUUUCCUCCUGGGAGCUCCCUUUGCCUCACAGUCAGAGCACAGCAAGUAUGAGUCACAUGGAUGCUAAGGAGCCAGAGCAAUAUACUAUCGUGCUAGGUACUCUCCAUUUUAAACAAAUAGCAGCACUGUUUAGGUUAACGUAUUAUUUCUCUUCUUUUUGAUAGAUCUACAGUCUUAUAUGAAGAACACUAGUGGUAGUUUAUGUUUUAGGUUUGAGGUAAAACUAUGAUGGGAUUGAUAUCACUCAAGGAUGCUAAUGGAAAUUUGUGUGUGUGUGUGUGUGUGUGUGUGUGUGUGUGUUCCAUAUUUUAGGAAAAUUUGUUUUUCAUUUGAAGAAAAAAGAAAGAAUUGUAGUGGAUGCAAACGGGGAAAGGGCGGUAGUGGCGGUUUGACUGGAGGACAGAGUCAGAUCCACUUGCCAGCUUUUCACACUUUGCUCCGUGCCCUGAGAUCUUGACUUUAUCAGCAGCAUUAAGUAGGUUGCCAGCUGGGCUUGGCCAGUGGGAAGCACUGGCAGGAGACUGGAAAAUGGAGGACAGAGAAAGGCUGAUGGAUUUAUUCCCCUGAUUGCCUCCCUGCUGGAGACAGGCUGUGUGUUUUUAUACCAAAGGUCAGGGUUCCUUCUGGAAAGCCCUCUCUCUGUGGGCUACAACUCACACUAAAGCUCUCAGGGGUUCCAGCAAGCCCUCUCCUGGCCCUUCCGAGUUUAGAGAUGCUAAUGACUUCCUGCUGUUGCUAGCCUUCUGGUACCCCACCAUCUCUUGUAGUUUCCCUAUAUCAUAUCACACCUUUGUAAAAAGCAAUUUCAUUGAGCUUGCUCUAAUACCCCUUUUGAGGGUCUUACCCCUUUCUUGCCAGGCCCUGGGCUGAAUUAAAGAAGGAGGGAGAUGGCAGCAAGAAACAAAACAAAUGGCUAACCUUUUUGCUGGGGAGACUAUUGGGGCACAGAUUACUCAAGGCAUGGGAUGGAAAGACUAAAGGCAAAGCACUGGAAGAUCAAGUGGCCACGGAGAUGGCAAUGAUGGUGGUGCAAAAACUGUGUGAUUUGGGAUGGCCACGUUUCCUAAUCCUGGAGAGCACACACAGAAAAAAUGGCAACUAUUAAACACUGAAUGCCCAAUUCAGGGCAUGGGUGGAUAAUCUGAAAAUAUCUAUCACAUUUUUAAAAAGAAUCCCUUAGAGCCUAUAGGCUCAGGGUGGAUGUGACUGAGAGCUAAACACAGAGCCUCACUGCAAAGUUGCGGUGUCAGUUACAUCACCAUUGGGUCUUCCGUGCUAAGCGAAGACAUGGACAAGAAGGGAGUGGGAAGCUAAGAUAUGUGGUAAGGACAUUUCAGCAGCAGAGGUGGUGCUGAGUACUUGGCUGAGCCCUCCUUGCCAGCAGGAGCAUUGCCACCCCCUGUUCUGAGGAUACCACACUCUCCCUGCGUAAAAAAACCUACUGAUGACUUCACUGUCCAGUUUAACUUUUCUAGUUGAUGACAAAAACCACUGAGGUCUUGGAGGAUGAAUGUGGAUUUUUGCUUAAUUAGGUGAUUAUAUCAUUUGCAGCCUGGCAUCUGAUAUGCAGAUACUGACUUAGAAAAAGCUUUUAUUCAGUUACUGUUAGCAAAGGUAAUCAAAAGCAGUUUACCUUUACAGGAAAGGAAGCACAGCAGUAUGCUAUUAUUUUCUAUCUUCUUUAUCUUUUAAAUUCUGACUAUGUAUUUAUUUGUUUACUUUUUAAUGUUUUUCAAUUACAGUUUUCAUUUAAUAUUUUGUAGUAGUAUCAGGUUGCUCAGCAUAGUGGUUAGACAAUCAUACACUUUCCAAAGUGAUCCCCAGUAUACCAUCAUUUUCAUAUUUCAGGGCUACACCACUCUCCUGUUUCCAGUCGAACUAGAAUACACCAGGAAAUACUUUAUCUCAGUAUCUCACAGAUUAUCACGCUGGUCCAUUACAUUGAUAGCAUUAUGCUAAUUGUACCUGGCGAGCAGGAAGAAGCAAGCACCCGACAUGCCUUAGAAAGACAUAUGUAUGCCAAAGGGUGGAAGACAAAUUUUGAGAAAAUUCAGAGGUCUGCACACCAGUGAGUUUCUGUGGAUCCAGCACUCUCAGGCAUGUUAAGAUACCCCUUUCUAAAAGUUACAACAAGUUAUUGUUCCUAACAUCUGCCAUCACAAAGAAAAGGCCUUUGGAUUUUGGAGGCAGCCUAUACCGUAUCUGAGCAUGCUUCUCUAACCCUUUGAACAAGGUAACACAUAAGGCAAACAGUUUUGAGUUGUGUCCAGAACAAGAAAAGACUCUAUAUUAGGUUCAGGGUUCAGGGCAAGUUGUCCUGCUUCCUGGGCCUUAUGACUUUAUAGGCCCAAUGGAAGCAUCUCUUCUUUGUUGAUUAAGGUAAAGCCAACCUGGAUAUACCCCUCUUCAUGCUAAUUAAUUAUUCCAAAAGAAAGUGUGUGUG